Molecule: long non-coding RNA, 10790 nt
Organism: Homo sapiens (human)
Lineage: Eukaryota; Metazoa; Chordata; Mammalia; Primates; Hominidae
Gene: SERTAD2-AS1
Product: SERTAD2 antisense RNA 1
Exons: 2
Source: RefSeq, a predicted model, not a curated record
UUCUCCCAUAAAAAAAGAGACUGAUUUAGAGGGCAGGACUUGGACCUCAGUUUCCUGCCCAGGGUUAUUUACAAGUACACGUGGAUUAAUUAGGGGUGGGAGGAAGGAAGACCUUUUACAAUAAGAGAGAGUUAGAAAAUCCACCUUUGUAUGCCUGUGGAGCAAUUUUUAUCACUAGGUAGUCUGGUGAGUGUAUUUCUUGAGAAAUGUGUACGACACAGACAAGUUAAGAAUUACCAUGGAAACCAUGAUUUUGACUUUCUCAGCUCAUGUGCUUGUGUUCGCAUGCCUAAGAUUAUCAUGCAGGUUCGAUUUCCCUCCCCCACGUAGAUUUAUUUUUAAAGCCCAAGAAAACACUUACAAUGCUAUGACCUAAACAGAUACAGGUGUCAUAGAUUACAGCUUGAGCACUUCUUAAAGGAUUAAAAGAACCAAGUUAAAGAAAGGUAACAUGUAUAAUUUGGGUAGAACUGUGUGUGCUUUCAAAAUGCUUUUCCUUCCUCAUUAAGCACGGAGUCUUUCUGCCUGGUUGGGGACAUGUGGUGAAGCACUGCACCUGUGUUAAAUGACCACAGUGACUGAGCCGCCGCCACUUUUCAUUUAGAAUCAAGGGGAGGAAUGCGUAUGUCCCAGCCUAAGUUCUUCCUUGGCUCAACUUCAUCCACACACAGUUAUGUUUGAAGACAACUGGAUUAAUUUUGAAGUAAUUAGCUCUGAUUAUAAGCAUUGCUGUUUGGGUACUCGAGACAUUUCCUAACAAACUACCUCCUGUGAUUCCAGAGAUACAUGCAUAUUUUGAGGAAACCAUGACCUCAUAUCUCAGACCCUGAGAAUCUGGUAAUGGGUUGAAUUUUAAAACUGCAGCCAGGAACUCCUGCCCCAUCUUGCCUGCUGCUCACAGGCCAGGCUGUGUCCUCUCUUGCUCUGGCCUUAGUGAAUACAUUUUAUCAACUGGUUGUCACCUUCUGGGGAGUGGGCCUUCCAACUUUCCAAGAUCAUGUGACAUCGUCACAACCUCCUUUCAGAACUUCUACUGUCUAAACAGAACAAUCUCAAGUUCAUUAGCCUUUGCCUCAAAGAUCUCACUUUCUAACCAUUUAACAAGAAACCUGUCUUUUGGUGUUCGGACCAGGAUCGUGGUUCGAAUGAAGCCAGGCCCAUGCUUGCUCCCUCACCGUCCCCGCCUCCAGCUACAGCACUCUCAGGGACUCCUGCUAAUCCUGUCCUCAGUGUGACUCACUCUCAUGUCUUCAUAUACAGGCAACUGCUUUGUAGUUAUUCAAUUUCUCUUCUAAAUGCCACUUACCUUUUAAUGAACUGCUUCAGCUGAUUGAUCACACCUCAUUCAAUCCUUUAAUAACUUAUCCACAUCUACACUGUCAUAGGCAUUUGGCCAGGCCCAGUGGGGAGUCCCACAUGAACACCCUGGCCUUCAAGAGGCUAAAUAGCCCCUCCUACACCUGAUCACCAUUUUGAAUUUCAAGUCUCGACCUAAAGAAAUAAGGCUAAAUGGAAUAUAAACUUCACAGAACUUCUUUCUCAUACUUUGUCACAAAGCAGGCCAUGCUGCCCUCAAGGCCAGUAUACAGGUAGACAUGGAGCCUGCCACUUGGGGUAACCGUCUUACCUCAUGUCUCAUGAGGUCUCCAGAAGAGACAGAUGAACAAGCUGCGACCUAUCAACAUCAGAAUCGGCUUGAGAUUUGUUAAUACUUAUGAAGAAUGUGGAGUUACUUGCAUGAAACAUUUCCCCUCAUUUUGUUAACAUUUAAAAAAUGGCUGUCAAUGUCAAUCACAAUGACCAGUCCAGUAAUUAAUUGUUCUUCAGGGCAAUAAAGGUUAUGAUAGUAACAGUUGGUUUGUCUAAUACUUCAAGUGAUAGACAUAUUUCCUACUGUUUAGUGCUAAAAUUCUCAUCUGUGUAUUUACUUUGCAUAGAACAUUUCCUAUCUAAAGUAUCUGUUUAAACUUGAAGGUGAAUCAGAGUGGAGGUGGUUUCAUCUCAUAUUGCAAAACGUUUUCUACUUCAUGCAUGAGAGGUACUACUGGACAACUGGGUUUUGAAACAUAACUGUAUUCACAGGUAUGCUAUUGGUAUUUGCUUAUAAUUUAAGCAUUUAAAUACUUAUAGAAAAAUUUCACUUUUGCUAAAGAGCUAAGUGCAUUUAAUUCUCAUAUAAAGUUCUAAGAUUUAUGUUAUGUUAUAAUGUGAUCAUGGCAACAUACUUAAAUGUGUGAGUACACAGAUACAUACACACUCUAAAAUAGUGUUUCUCAAAGUGUGGCCACAGAUGGUGCCUGUCUGCGAACUGUUACUGGUCCACGAUGAGGUAUGUAGAGAGAGACAUUUUAUUAUUUAGAAACUUCUACAGCAAAUUUACACAGUAACUGUUAUGUCUGUACAUGGAAUUUUUAAAAUGGGGCUUCUAUUUUCCAUAACUUUGUAUUUUUAUUUCAUUUUAUGAUAAUUAUUUUUAUUGUGUCUUACUGAAGUCUGUGAAAGAUUGGGGGGCCAGGGAACCAAGAGAGCCCCUAAUCACAGAAAGCUUGAGAAGCACUGUCCGUAAGUGUAAAACAAAAUACAACCGAAAACAAACUAGCUUAUUGCCACUGUGGAUUUUUAUCGGUUUUCUGGAGGAGAGGUAACAUUUAGGGAAGAUGGUGUAGACUCUUCUUACAGUCAUCAAUGCAGAAUUGUCUUUUUAAAGACUUGUUACUAGAACAAACAACAGGGCUUUUUUAAUACUGCAUUUUUCUAGAAAUAAUCACUGAAUCUACAGAAUUCACCUAUUUAAAAAGUAUACAGGCCAUGCAAAAUAUUAUAGGCAUUUAGUAGAAUUCCCAUAGCUGAAAGAGAUCUUUGGAGAUAUUUUCAGAAGGAUUUCAAUGUGAGAAGCACCUAAUUUCCAAUUAGAAUGAUCCAGCUGGCCAGAGCUGUGUGCUAAUCCUAAUGAUUUAGAGAAAGCCUGAUAAGACAUCUGUAAUGCUGCCUGGAAGGGGAGGGCAGAGGGCUCGGUAAGCAAAACCUGUAAGCAGGAACAGACACACACACCAAAUCUUGGAUGCACCUCAGAGGUGUGAAUACGGACCCCUGAUGAAGUGUACCUCAAGGCAGUUUUGCCACCAUUUCUCUGUUUUGUAUUAUAAGGCAAAACUGACUCCACACACCCAGUAAGAUUGUAAAAUGCAUAUAAUCUUGAUUUUUAAUCCUAAUUCUAUCUAAGCUGUUACAGAAAGGAAUACAAUGCAACAUAAUAAAAAGUGAAGUCAUUUUCCUUAAGUUUGCCUGACACACUGCAGUAACAUUACAAUGAGCAUAUUCAGAAGAGGCCUCCAACUCCUAGAGGGGGAGGGCAGUGGGAACUCUCACUCUCAGGGCUUUGUGUAACAACCACCUCCUUAAGCAGGGCCCAAUUUAAAGGAGAAAAGACACGACAUGCCCUCAAGAACCGGAGGGCAAGAAGCCAGGCGCAUCAGCCCCUCCAGGCCUUUCUGGGCCUGGCUCAGGCUGGCCAAGGUCAGGGUCGGCCCAGCUCCUAGCUCCUCAGAAGCCUCUCUUUCCUCAGGCACUCUAAGAAAAUAACAAUAGCUCUUUAACCACCCUUUGGAGAGGCAAGGGACCUUUCAAAAAGGCUUCGCUGGGCUGCAACUUGAAGAUGAAGCAGUAGCAGGAGCUAAGGACGUGUAGGUGACUCUAGGGAGGGGGUGCUGUGGUUCCUGCGGAGGGGGGGCCUGGAGUUCACGAAAGGGGGGCCUGUGACCCAUUGGCUUCCUAGGUCACCCCGGGGCUUUGACACUCCACUUUAUCUCCUCCCUUGGCUGGUGAAGACCAAAGCCUAAAAAACCCAUGUCUUCUACCCAAUUUUUCUAAAGACCCAAAGUGCCCCUGAGCUCCAGGGCGGGGUUGGAGACUCCCACGUGGAGGAAUCACGUGGGUGCUCCUCCAUCUUCUGCCCACCCUAAGGGGCCUAAAACUAACCCCAGCCACUUUUCUACUGAAUAGUCAUUGGCUCUUAACAUGAGGUUUGAGAUCAAAUGACCUCCCUCCCCAAUAAACUUUUUAGAAACAAAUUCCUAGCAUUCUGGUUUUCUAAACAUUAAUUUUAACUGCUAUUAACUGCAGCAAACUAAGUUUCAAACAUAAAGAACAAAACUCAUUGGUAGAGACAUAAAUGAAAACUUCUGGAGUUUUCCAGGAAACUUCAUACUAAACACAACUCUGUACAUGAAAACUAGUUUUCAACUGUGCAACUUUUCAUUAGGAAGGACCCUGCCUUCAAAAGCUACAAUCUGGGUAGAUGCUCAAAAGUAACAAAUGUCACUAGAAGUGUCCUCAAAAGUCAAAGGACCAGAGGACCAGGAGCCUGAAUGACUUGACUUUUUGGGGCUUUGCAAUUCCAGAAUCUGAGUGACUCCCACAGUAAGCAAUCUGAGAGAUUACUGUGGGCUGGGGGCGGCCGGGAGACUGCUGGAAAUAGAUUUGUAGCCUAUUUGAAAGUUACAUUUAAGGUGGGAUUGUCUCUUCAUAUCUGUUUCCCAUCUCAAGAUAGUGAGCCCCCUAGGGCACAGACGGUGUGUGUUUUGUUCACUUCUGUACCCUCAGCAUAAGGUAGUCUCCAACACAAGAUGCUCCAUAGAUGGUCACUGAAUACACGAACAGUAAGUGGAAAUAAUGAGGAAAGACACCAAGGGGCAGCCAGGGCAGCACUGUAAAAACAGAGCCAGGUGUGUGUGUGUGUGUCCUUGAGCGUGAACUGUGUCUGGGAGGGAGGGUCUGAGGAAUGGGAGGGUUGCACAGACCUCGGAGUUGAACGGUUUUACAGGCGGGAUCAGGGUCGCGCAAUGCACCAGCAGCUGAGAUAUGGAGUAGGCAGGAAAGCUCCAGCUGAGAAGCUCUUCUGUGAGCGGCUCUCCCAUCCUUCACUUCUCAACCACGGACAAGCCUUAGGUUCACCUGGAGGCCUGAUAAGCACAGGCCGUUGGGCCCCACCUCCCAUAUUUCUCUUUCAGCAUGUCUGGGGAGGAGCCCUCAAAUCAGCAUUUCCAACAAACUUUCGGGUGAUGCUGGUCUGGGAACCUCACUUUGAGAAUUACCAUUUCUUCUUUUCCUCAUCAGGCCAUUUCAAGUUUAGGCCGGAGGAUAUCUUUAUUCAGUUAAUCUUGAUUCCCAAGGCCUUCCUUAUUUGUGUCUAAUUUAGCAGGACAAAAAGGAAUGAACAGCAUUUUUGUGAUAGCAACUGACAACUGACAUUAGAAAACAAAAUACUGCACGCAGAGUUAAGAUGUCUUAUACUCAAUUUUAAUGACAAAACUCAGGGUCUCAAACUGAUGUGUCAGAUCCUACUGGCCCAGUGGGGCCCAGAUUCUCCUUGCUGGGGUCUUAAAGUGAUGGCAGUGGGAUCUUAUCCAAAGCCCAGAAAGGAACUGAAACAGUACUUACGUUUAAAAGAGUAAGUAACAUCUCCCACUACUACAUUUUGCAUUUUGGAAAAAAAAUGCAAACAAUUUUUUUGAAGAUGAAUCAGAAAAGGUUAUCUUUAGCUCAAGGUUUUUCAACUAUUUAAAAGCUACAUCUUUUUAAAAAUCUUUUUUUUUUUAAAUUACUGUCCUUUAAUGUUAUUUGAACUGUCAAAGUAAAUGUUAUGAUUUUUUAAAGUGAGAGUAUUAAAUUGACUUUUCCAAACUACCACUUCUGUCAUCCUACCACCACCAACAAAAACCACUGCUUUAACCUGCAGGCUCACCCCAGCCUCUGCAGCAUCACAGCGUCCUGGUGGUUCCCUCGACAGACCCUGGGUUGGGGGGGCAGGGGCAGUGUGGGGGCUGUAGGAGGCCGCACAGGGAGCCCUCCUCAGACCACCAAGGCUGGCUUGCUGGGUUUCUCUGUGCCAGUCAAAAAAAGAUGCAAAAGUCUUCACAGAUGUAAAACUCUGCAUUAUGUUUUAACUUGAUUCAUCCCAAAUGAUUGUCAUUAGCCCGGGCGGAAGGAAAACUCUCACUGAUAGACUUUUCUACUCUGGAGAAAGAGAAUUCAUGCCACAAAAUGACUUUAAAAGGGGGUCAAAUUCACAGCUUAGUUCUAAAUUCUUAAGAGAGGAAAUAAUUGGGGAAGGUGUGACUGGUCUUGUGACCAAAAAGGAAUCAAAGAUUGAGUGGAGACACCUGGUCCUGCACCCCUGGGGCUUGUGCAGCUCGGCACCACCCUGACCUGGUGCGGGGACAGACGGGGAACUCAGGAAAGCAUCGCCUUAGAAGCCCAACUGGUUUGUACCUUGUGUACGUUUUCAAGAGCUUUUUCCAAUUUCCUUUUGGGAAACAGCAACAACUACACAUUCUGUAUGCUCCCUUCUCAGGAGAGCAGCAGGCUUCACAAUUAAGUGGUAUGUUGUUUUAAAAGUCAGGUAACAAGGCAACACUGAACUACAGUGUCUGCCGUGGUGUACGGGCGGCUAGUGGGGUGAGCUGGCCAUGCUCUGCCGCUCACCUGGGUGGAGAGCACAGCUGGGGCCUGCCUCAUGAUGAGUCACCGGCCUGCACACGCGGGAUCCUGCACGGCUCUACAUGCACGCUAUACUUCAACAGGAACGUUUUCAAAACGCUAGCUAACAGCUCUCAGGAAAAAGGCUCCUCAUUCAAAGGGGAGCUUUAACAAGCUGUAUGCCUUCGCAGGGCAAGGUGGCUCACGCCUGUAAUCCCAGCACUUUGGAAGGCCGAGGCGGGUGGAUCACGAGGUCAGGAGAUCGAGACCACCCUGGCUAACACGGUGAAACCCCAUCUCUACUAAAAAUACAAAAAAUUAGCCAGGCGGUGGCGGGUACCUGUAGUCCCAGCUACUCAGGAGGCUGAGGCAGGAGAAUGGCGUGAACCCGGGAGGCGGAGUUUGCAGUGAGCCGAGAUCGCGCCACUGCACUCCAGCCUGGGUGACAGAGUAAAACUCCGUCUCCAAAAAAACAAAACAAAACAAAACAAAAAAAACACCAAGCUGUAUCCCUAACCUCAUCAGACACACUGUCCCAUAUGGCUGCUGGUGUGACCACUGGUUGCUGACAAGUCUAGAGGUGUCAAUGCUAACGCUAAAACCAGAAAGAUGAGGCCUUUAACCCAACGCCAACACUCAAAGUAGUGAUCUGCCCUCAUGUACCCACCUCUUUGGAAGAAAAAAGAAGUGUGGCGAUUGUCUUAUGAGAAGGCUGGCAGCGGUCCUUCCCUUCCCCUGACAUACUGUGCCACCAAAGCCCACAGCCCUAAGUGGAAACACAUUCAUACUCCUGGUGUCUUUUGGUGGUGGUGGUAGAAGAAAGGGGUGCCCCUGGUAAAAUUAGCUGGGCAUGUGGCAGACUUCUGAGCCGAAAAGAGGCUCAAAGUAGGGCCAGGAUUGUUUUGAGACAACUUCUGAAACACAGAAUAUGCUGUUUCUCUUCUCUUCACUCCACAGGCUGGUCUCCCAGUGCGUUUAGGACCCUGCUUUUGAGGCAUCCAAGUGGGAGAGCCUCUGUUCAUGACAAAAGGGAACCUCCCACCAGCCUGAGGGCGGGACGCUGAGGACCCCAGAGCCCUGCCUCCAGGCUGCUGUCGUAGUGUGACACAGCAACUUCCGAGCAGGAAGGAGAAGCCCGAUCCUAACUGGGGGAAGCUGUUUGCUUAGACAACUUUCUACACUUCAAAUAUUACACCUUAAACAACACACUGGACUAAGAAAUCUGAUCAUGUCCAGGCUUUUAACACCCUCCUCCCCCAAGGAACAAUAAAACACACCAGCGAAAACAAAGAGGCUGCCCUGAAAAGGUUGCAGUGGUGGAUGAUACUGGCAGAAUCAGAAAGGAAGCUAAGAGAAACAGGCGCGUCCUCAGCCGGGCCUCGCGUGUCCUGACACUGCAGCAGGCACGGGAUGUGGGCUGUCCCCUCCAGCACAGUGCGGGAAGGUGCUGGGGCAUCCAAACAGCAAAAGCAAACCUGAGACCCCAAAACAACUGCGUCUGGCCCAGGGGAGUGGGCAAAAAUUCCAACAGGGAGAGACCGUCUCUGGCUUAUUUACAGACAGGGUAAGUAAGGAUGCCCAAAGACAAGGCGGAGUAUUAGUAACAGAACUCAUGAAGUUCUAUGGAUCGGGAUGCUUUAAAAAAAAAAAAAAAACACCAAAGCUCAUCCAGAAUGUCUGAGGUCCCUGCAGUAACAUCCAUGCUAAUUGGUAAGUAAGACAAAGCCUCCCCUAACAAAUCAGCAAUGUAAUUAUAAAGCCAGUCACUAGAUCAAGCCAGUCUCCUGUGCUCCAGCGAUAUUCUGAACCUGUAACCCGAUACCACUGUUUGCUGCCGGCGCCUCCUCCGGGCUCUCCCGCUGCGCACCGGCCGCGCGGGGGCCCGCAGGGCAACGCAGCCUAGGCUGUUUGUGCAAGAUGAGACCCUGCAUUUGACGAAGACCUGCAGGAGCAAUCCUCCCGGCUUUCUUGACAGUGAAGAAGAAGAAGAAGAAAAAAAAAGCCUGACGAUACACUGAAAUUCGAACAGGAAGUCAAGCCCCAAGUAAAUUUAAGAAACAACUUUUACUGUUUGGGGUUGUUUUCUAAAGUCCAAAUUUUUAAAAUUCUAGUUUCUCCUCUCAGAUUUUUACAUGCUCCUAUUAAAUUGAAGGCAAUUUCCAAUACUGGAGAAGAAAGCUAUUAGUGCUCCAUGUAAACAAGCACGCCCAAUUCAAGUUGGAACUCUUUAAAUUCUGGAAGACAGCACAUCACAUCCAGCCACGAGGGGGCGCAGCCGAGCAGCAAGGAGCGCAAAAGUCUCAUUCUUCACUGCAAUUUCUACCUACAGCUCUCUCAAAGUAUACACAUUUUCAAGAUUGUUUCCAAAUUCAGGUAUCCACAGGACACUGCUAAGCAAGCUGGGAGCUUUGCCAAGGCCAAAAUAAAUUAAAUUAUGGUACGGUUCAAACUCUGGAAGUACUGUGUAUAGGAAAGGUUGUUUCUCUGUAUAUAAAAGUUAAUACUGGUAUUUCAAAAACCAUGGUUAAAAUCCCUGGAGGAUUCCUGAAAUGAGAACAAACACACAACAACAAACACACACCCAAGUCAUGAGAUGUGAACGUGGAGAAACCAACAGUUCAGAAUUUCCAGUGGGGCUUGCAACAUGGACUCCCAAUAAAACAAUGAGUCUCAAUAAAUUCGGCACUAAGCUUUUACCAGUAUAGAUAGACGCCUUUACUGGGCCUACUUACUACUUCUUAAUAACUAUAAAUUAUCUCCAUACUGAACAGAUACUGCUUCAGGCAGUUAUUUGGGAAAACCCUUCAUAAAGGACAUUGGAGAGGGGCCAUUUAAUUAUAAAAUGUAACACAGUUAACCUUAGGGAGAUGAUGAAGCGAGAUCAUUAUGUGUAACUACUUGCUGGGAUUCUUUCUAUUUAAAUUAUAAGUUCAGGUUAUAUGAUGUUGUAUGUUCAAUAAUAAUGCUCAUAAUAGAUGAAAUGUUAUAAUGAGUCUCCACAUUUGAAAAUUGGAAACUAUAAACAUAUCUAUAUUUUAUAAUCAUUUGAAUUGUGAUACUACUUCAUAAUAAUUUGGUGUCAGAGUAUGUUUUUAGCAUUUUGAGUCUAAGGCCUCAUUAACAUUAGGGUAAGGAACUCUCAGAUUUGACAAUUUUUCCCAUAAGAUUACGUGCUUUACUAGUAAAGACUAGCCAGCAUUGCCCAACCUCCCAUUCUCGGGCAUAAUGAAAAUAUUUUUUCUCCUGUAUUUAUAAUUGCUUGGAUGGGAUUCUGUUUCAAUCCUCCUGUAGCAUCUUUUCCCUAAAGAUACACUGUUUUUCUCCCUCACACUAGAGACCCUUAAUAAACAAUGUCAAGGAGGUGGGGAACUUAGAGUAGAAAGGAAAGGCUUUGCCAAAAGUAUGUGACAGUUUUUGUGUUUAAAAAAAAAAAAAAAGACUCAAGAUAUAUGUAAGUCUUACUAAAACAGGGAAAUAUAAGGUUUUAGAACAAUUCUGUGAAAGAUAAAAUUACAUCUUAGUUAAAACCAAAGGUGGCCUUCUAGGUUUUAUUAGACAACUAUUUGCCACUGAAUAAAACUAAGGAAUAAAAGUAAAGUAUGCUACUUCAAGAAAUGCUUCAAUGGAAGCUUUUCUUAAAAGUUAAAAAUUAAAAACUAGUCAUGCCUUCAAAUCUGGAUGCUUCAUUACUAUCAAAGAAUCACUUAAAAUAUUCCUUACAAAUACAGAACAUAUUUCAUCUUAUAACUUAUCCGUGCAGUCCAAAGAGGAAAACCUGAGAAAUGUUGUUUCUUUUACUUACUGUGUAAAACUGAACAUUGUAUUGUACGGCCUAAACUUGGAUUCCCUAGAGAACAAUAUCACAUUUCUACAACAUGACAUGAGUACAAAAAUUUGAGGUGCAGGAUAAUAGAAAUAUACUUGAGACAUGCAAAUGGAAGGAAAUAACUAUUUUAUGUAAUACCUGUCCCAUGUAAGUAACCUACAUGUUCCGAAUGUUUAAUUUGGUUGCCUCUAAGAAUUAGGUAGGCUAAUAAGGUUUUACAAAGACAAUUUAAACUUUGUAUCAUAUACCUGAAUAAUUCACACACAGACAAUAAUUGUAGAAAGAAAAAGGCAAUGAGGAUACAACUAAACUUGAGGGGAGUAAAUGAUACUUUGUAAAUAUGGCAGCCAUUAAAGAAUAACUACUUUGGGACUAUUUUGAGAUAAAAUGUUUGUCUUCCCAAGGACUUCUGUGCAUUGAUAAUGAAUGGCUCAUUGAACUUUAAGCUAUGUCACUUAAAUACAAUAAAAAUAAUCAGAGUACCACA